RNAcentral lists this ribosomal RNA (253 nucleotides) under uncultured Lachnospiraceae bacterium. RNAcentral's name for it is "partial 16S ribosomal RNA". It matches the Rfam family "Bacterial small subunit ribosomal RNA", at positions 524 to 776 of the family's 1533-position model. The record is from RNAcentral. Lineage: Bacteria; Bacillati; Bacillota; Clostridia; Lachnospirales; Lachnospiraceae.
UACGUAGGGGGCAAGCGUUAUCCGGAUUUACUGGGUGUAAAGGGAGCGUAGACGGCUGUGCAAGUCUGAAGUGAAAGCCCGUGGCUCAACCGCGGAACUGCUUUGGAAACUGUUUAACUGGAGUGUCGGAGAGGCAAGUGGAAUUCCUAGUGUAGCGGUGAAAUGCGUAGAUAUUAGGAGGAACACCAGUGGCGAAGGCGGAUUGCUAGACUGUAACUGACACUGAGGCACGAAAGCGUGGGGAGCAAACAGG